AUACGAAGGGUGCAAGCGUUAAUCGGAGUUACUGGGCGUAAGGCGCGCGUAGGCGGUUUGGUUAGUUGGAUGUGAAAGCCCCGGGCUCAACCUGGGAACUGCAUCCAAUACUGCCAAGCUAGAGUACGGUAGAGGGGGGUAGAAUUCCACGUGUAGCGGUGAAAUGCGUAGAGAUGUGGAGGAAUACCAGUGGCGAAGGCGGCCCCCUGGAUCGAUACUGACGCUGAGGUGCGAAAGCGUGGGGAGC
RNAcentral lists this ribosomal RNA (247 nucleotides) under uncultured bacterium. RNAcentral's name for it is "partial 16S ribosomal RNA". It matches the Rfam family "Bacterial small subunit ribosomal RNA", at positions 523 to 769 of the family's 1533-position model. The record is from RNAcentral.